GUUCAGCAUUCUGCAGACAAAACACUUGAAAUUUCCUCUGCUUCCAGGGGUUACUGGGAUUCCCUUGGUGCGCAACUUGCUUACCUUAGGGACUGAACAAAGAGUGCUGAACACCAGAGGAAGGAGGCACUGAAAGAUCUUUUCCACAGGAGCAACAGUCUUCAGUGCAGUAGCUUUUUGAGACCUGUUGACAAGGCUCAAGGUGGAAUGCUGCAUGCAAAACCAAGAUGCUAUGGAGGAGUAAUAGCAUCUGUUCCUCCAAAUGUUGUUUUUCUGCUUCAGCUUGCCUGAAACACAAAAUCUACUGAACAUUCAGAUGGAUACAUGAGGAAAACGCCACAAUGUCAAUAAAAUAUUAAACCUCAAAUUAGAGAUUAUUUUG
Molecule: long non-coding RNA, 382 nt
Filed under: Zonotrichia albicollis (white-throated sparrow)
Lineage: Eukaryota; Metazoa; Chordata; Aves; Passeriformes; Passerellidae
Description: lncRNA (ENSZALG00000016285.1)
Source: RNAcentral